GGAAGAAUUUGUAUUAACAUUAUUAUUUUCACUUAAUUCCUGUAGUAGUAUCUUUAGUCAUUUAUGAGCCAGAAUAUACAUAAAAUCUCUGAAAAUUAGGUUGUCACUUAAAUUAAUCAAAAAAGAAUCACCAGUUAAAAUGUAUUAAUACUGAUUUUGUUUUGGUCCUACCUGAUCAGAGAGUAAUCCGCAUCUACUCCAGUUAAACAGAGAGCGUCGGAGGGUGAUGAUGAGUUUCCAGUUAAGAUCCGAUUGAUAUGUUUUAUAAAUUCCAGGAAGAAGUAUUUACAGAGGAGGAUUGGUACAUCUGUGGCGAAGGUGUGGAGAGGUGUGGCCUGGGCAAAGGUGUCCAAAAUCCAUACAAAUGCUAUGAUGAAACAUGUUCCGUGCAAAUGUUCAGAUAUUUUCUCUCAUUAUGUGAAUAAUAUAUGCAGUCCUUGAAAGUUGCUGGUUUUGUUUACUGCUCUAGUCCCCCAAAUUAAGAAAAUCCGUUUUCUUCUGCUGCUACAUCUCUAACAGUGCGUAAAUGUGUAAAUAACCACCAGUAAAAUGAUAUAUUUCCGUCUCUGUUUGGAUCUAAUUUUUAUGCGGUCCUCCUCUGCGUCCUCCUGCUCCACACUGUGGCGAAGACAAUAAGAAGAGAGAAAAGAACAUCAGCUCUAUCUCCAACAGGUUUAAUAUACACGUACAAUAUACUAUAUCGGAGGUUGAAUAUGUUGUA
Molecule: long non-coding RNA, 721 nt
Organism: Dicentrarchus labrax (European seabass)
Lineage: Eukaryota; Metazoa; Chordata; Actinopteri; Moronidae
Exons: 3
Source: RefSeq, a predicted model, not a curated record